CCCUUAGAUGUUCUGGGCUGCACGCGCGCUACACUGAAGCUAUCAACACGUUUUCCCUCCCUGAGAAGGGCGGGUAACCUUUUGAAUCAGCUUCGUGGUAGGGAUCGGGGCUUGCAAUUGUUCCCCGUGAACCAGGAAUUCCUAGUAGACGCGAUUCAUAAGCUCGCAUCGAUUAAGUCCCUGCCCUUUGUACACACCGCCCGUCGCUACUACCGAUUGAACGUUUUAGUGAGGCAUUUGGACCGACGCAUCUCAGUUUAACCGCUGGUUUGUGUUGGAAAGACUUCCAAACUUGAGCGUUUAGAGGAAGUAAAAGUCGUAACA
This 324-nucleotide ribosomal RNA is filed under the name uncultured eukaryote. RNAcentral's name for it is "partial 18S ribosomal RNA". It matches the Rfam family "Eukaryotic small subunit ribosomal RNA", at positions 1470 to 1796 of the family's 1831-position model. The record is from RNAcentral.